This 161-nucleotide long non-coding RNA is filed under the name Ictidomys tridecemlineatus (thirteen-lined ground squirrel). RNAcentral describes it as "lncRNA (ENSSTOG00000034919.1)". The record is from RNAcentral. Lineage: Eukaryota; Metazoa; Chordata; Mammalia; Rodentia; Sciuridae.
ACCCACCUGUGCCAGCCAGACUCCAGGGCAGGAUCAGCAGUCCCAGGAGUUUUCUGGCUGUUCUGCAGGGGCCUCUUCCAGCAAGAUUGACCAGGACCCAGAGGGGCCCAGCUGUGGGGAGGAAGCCCAGUCCUGUGUCCCCUCAAGAGGACCCUACCGUG